This 545-nucleotide ribosomal RNA is filed under the name uncultured bacterium. RNAcentral describes it as "partial 16S ribosomal RNA". It matches the Rfam family "Bacterial small subunit ribosomal RNA", at positions 355 to 914 of the family's 1533-position model. The record is from RNAcentral.
UGGGGAAUAUUGGACAAUGGGCGAAAGCCUGAUCCAGCCAUGCCGCGUGAGUGAUGAAGGUCUUCGGAUUGUAAAGCUCUGUCUUUUGGGACGAUAAUGACGGUACCAAAGGAGGAAGCCACGGCUAACUACGUGCCAGCAGCCGCGGUAAUACGUAGGUGGCGAGCGUUGUCCGGAUUUACUGGGCGUAAAGGGUGCGUAGGCGGAUGUUUAAGUGAGAUGUGAAAUACCCGGGCUUAACUUGGGUGCUGCAUUUCAAACUGGAUAUCUAGAGUGCAGGAGAGGAGAAUGGAAUUCCUAGUGUAGCGGUGAAAUGCGUAGAGAUUAGGAAGAACACCAGUGGCGAAGGCGAUUCUCUGGACUGUAACUGACGCUGAGGCACGAAAGCGUGGGUAGCAAACAGGAUUAGAUACCCUGGUAGUCCACGCCGUAAACGAUGAGUACUAGGUGUAGGAGGUAUCGACCCCUUCUGUGCCGCAGUAAACACAUUAAGUACUCCGCCUGGGAAGUACGAUCGCAAGAUUAAAACUCUAAAGUGAAUUGAC